This 2994-nucleotide long non-coding RNA is filed under the name Sus scrofa (pig). RNAcentral's name for it is "lncRNA (ENSSSCG00035035878.1)". Lineage: Eukaryota; Metazoa; Chordata; Mammalia; Artiodactyla; Suidae. The record is from RNAcentral.
AAGUCUCCUUGUUUUACUGCCUCUCUACUGUUGCCACACCACUUGGUAUUCGAAUCUGAUGGGCAGGAUUGCCAAAGGCCCUUACCUGUCAAAGAGCUCAAGACUUUAUGUGUGGGAAUUUUGCUGUCCUGGUGGAUCUUCACAUAUUACCGCAAGGUUCAAACAAAGAUACCAGCUGGUUUUCCGAACAGAAGAAAGAGCCCUGACUCUAGUUCCAAGCACUUAGCACAUCAGUGUUGCAAGCUGGGAGCUGGUGCUCAAGAAGACGAAGCAGAGGGCCUCCUGAAUUCUUUGCUGUGCUGCAGUUUAGCUUUUGAGAAUAGUGGAGCUUUGCUUUACCCCAGAUAAGUACAAAAUCUCAGUGGCCCACCCAGUUCUGUGAAGGUGAUUUCAUUAAAAAGCAAACAUCAUCUUUAUCGCUGCCUGUUACCUCUGGGCACACGAAACACAGCUCCUUAAGCAUUUCAGUUCAGUAUAUGUCUGCAGAAGAAGUUUCUUAGUUUAUACAUCAAAAUCAGCUUGCCAUAGGAAUGGAUACAAAUACUUUCUGUGUUUUCUCUCUCUUCAAGUUUCUCUUUAAACAGUAGUUUCCUAUGGCCAGUAGAAUUCGCACUAAGCAAGCACAGAUCUCUUUUACAUGGUAAACUUGCCAUUUCUCUUGUAGGUGCCAUUAGGCAGGGUUUUCCACUGAAACCACAAGACACCAGCUUAAGAAUGAUUCCCUCAAACAGUCCUAUCUUGGGAGUUGGGGGCAGAGCAGGAAAGGUUUCCAUAAACUCAGUUCUCCCAGCAAUGUCAGUUGUAAGUCAUUCAGAAUCUGACUUACACUACUUUCUUUUCUAGAGCGGAAGGUGUCAUAUUGAGACAGCUGACCAAGCAGGAUUAGUGGUCACUCAAGUGGUAUCUCCAGAUACCAGGCUUCCUGAUCUUGAGCUAGAGUUUUCUUGGUCAAUUUCAAAUGGAGCCCCUUCCUACCAUUAACGAUUUAUUGCUAGAGAUUUUGUACAGAGAAAGGAGCUUUGAAAAUUUGAGCUUGCAUCUGAAUCUUGAUCACCUGGUGCUACAAGCGUUCAGUAUGAGCCACCAGCAAAGGCAGAAAUGACUUAGAUAUUGCAUUUUUGUCGUUGUUCAGUUCUUUGGAAGACUCACAUUUAUUAUAAAUCUUUUCUCUGGAAAUCCCUUUGUGUUUCUAAGUCCACUCUGAUCAUCCCCCGCCCCCAGCAGUAGGACAGAUAAACAGAUGUGGAUGUCACUUCCACUCUCUCGGUGACCUAAGGGCUGAAGUAUUUAUUUUAAAGCACUCAGAAUUAUGCCAGCGUGUGCAUAUUUCGUUUGACAUUUGAAGCAGAAGAAAGCCACAUGACCAAAAUGCAGUCCAUUUCAAGUGUGUUAGUAAAAAACAUAUUUCAUCUCAGUAAAGCUGGAGAUAUCUCAUCAUAGAUGUCACUGUUAUUUCGAAAUCCCCGUGACUAAAGCAAUUGUGCUGUCAGAGGCGUAGCUUGUGUAGACAGUACAUUGAGUCUGUGGUCACUGAUGUUCUGGAUCUUUCUAUAAGAGUGACAGAAGGAUACUUGAGCAUAAAACUGGAAACUUCCUUCACUGUAUUCUUAUAUAUACAAGUUAUUUCAAAACAAUCAUUGUCAUGGUUUUUCAAGAGUCCAGUGAGCCUAGAGACUGCCUCUUUCAACUCCUGGCCCUUCCAAUUUCAUGGAUAAAAUACUGUCUCCGAGGGUUAGCAAUUGCCUGAGGUUAUUUUAGAACCUGGAGAUCCUCACCCCUCUUUGGCAGGUCUUUCACUUCUGAUUCUUUCUUUUUUCUUUUCUUUCUUUCUUUCUUUUUUUAGGGCUAUACAUGCAGCAUAGAUGAGUUCCCAGGCUAUCAGAGCUGCAGCUGCUGUCCUACACCACAGCCACAGCAACACCAGAUCGGAGCCUCAUCUACGACCUAUGCCGCAACUUGCGGCAAUGCCAGAUCCUCAACCCACUAAGCGAGGCCAGGGACCAAACCCGCAUCCUCACAGAUACUGUGUCAGGUUCAUUAUUGCUGAACCACAACAGGAACUCCUUCACUUCUGAUUCUUCCACCAAGUACUCUCCUGUGUUACCUGGGAUGUUUUUUACUUGCUCUUUUCAAGAGAGGCAUCAACAGAGUAGUUUAUCCCUGGAGCAGGGCUGGAAGGGAGGAGGGUGAAGGGUACUCUGCUGGCACUUCCUGUGAGCCACCUGAAAUGACGUUGCCACCUGUAAGGUGAACAGAAACACCUCCAUCAUCACAGAUGGGAUGCACUCCUUUGGACCAGGCGUCUUUCACUUAACAUCAUGUUUGGGAUAUUUAGUUCCAAUAUGGCCCAUGCUUAUAGCACAUUCAUUUUUUUUCAAUGAAUUUAUUACAUUUGUAGUUGUACAAUGAUCAUCAAAAUCCAAUUUUAUAGGAUUUCCAUCCCACAGCCCUAGUGCAUCCCCCAACCCCCCGAACUGUCUCUUUUGGAAACCAUAAGUUUUUCAAAGUCUGUGAGUCAGUAUCUGUUCUGCAAAGAAGUUCAUUGUGUCCUUUUUUCAGAUGCCACAUGUCAGGGAUAGCAUUUGAUGUUGAUGUCUCAUUGUCUGACUUCGCUUAGCAUGAUAAUCUCUAGGUCCAUCCAUGUUGCUAAAAGUGCGCGUUCAUUUUUAGAGGCAGUGCAGCAUUGUGCUGUGUGGCUCUUACCUCCCCGCUUUCCUUCAAUUAAGAAAUUGUACUUUGGGAGGUCCCCUUGUGUCUCAGCGGUUAAUGAACCCACCUAGGAUCCAUGAAGAUUCGGGUUCUAUCCCUGGCCUCACUCAGUGGAUUAAGGAUCCAGGGUUACCGUGAGCCGUGGUGUAGUUCGAAGAUAUGGCUUGGAUCCCGUGUUGCUGUGGCUGUGGUGUAGACCGGUGGUUGCAAUUCCAAUGUGAUCCCUAGUCUGGGAACCUCCAAAUGCCACAUGUGCAGCCUUAAAAAGCAAAAAAAAAAAAAAAA